UGGGGAAUAUUGGACAAUGGGCGCAAGCCUGAUCCAGCCAUACCGCGUGGGUGAAGAAGGCCUUCGGGUUGUAAAGCCCUUUUGUUGGGAAAGAAAAGCAGCCGGUUGAUACCCGGUUGUUCUGACGGUACCCAAAGAAUAAGCACCGGCUAACUUCGUGCCAGCAGCCGCGGUAAUACGAAGGGUGCAAGCGUUACUCGGAAUUACUGGGCGUAAAGCGUGCGUAGGUGGUUGUUUAAGUCUGUCGUGAAAGCCCUGGGCUCAACCUGGGAAUGGCGAUGGAAACUGGGCGACUAGAGUGUGGCAGAGGGUAGUGGAAUUCCUGGUGUAGCAGUGAAAUGCGUAGAGAUCAGGAGGAACAUCUGUGGCGAAGGCGACUGCCUGGGCCAACACUGACACUGAGGCACGAAAGCGUGGGGAGCAAACA
This 427-nucleotide ribosomal RNA is filed under the name uncultured bacterium. RNAcentral's name for it is "bacterial SSU rRNA". It matches the Rfam family "Bacterial small subunit ribosomal RNA", at positions 355 to 774 of the family's 1533-position model. The record is from RNAcentral.